This 730-nucleotide ribosomal RNA is filed under the name uncultured Gram-positive bacterium. RNAcentral describes it as "bacterial SSU rRNA". It matches the Rfam family "Bacterial small subunit ribosomal RNA", at positions 9 to 752 of the family's 1533-position model. The record is from RNAcentral.
GAGUUUGAUCCUGGCGUCAGGACGAACGCUGGCGGCGUGCUUAACACAUGCAAGUCGAACGAGGCAGCGGCCUUCGGGCCGUUGUCGAGUGGCGAACGGGUGAGUAACACGUGAGGAACCUGCCCCGGAGACCGGGAUAACCAGGGGAAACUCUGGCUAAUACCGGAUGCCCCCGGAUGGUCGCAUGGCCAACCGAGGAAACGCUCCGGUGCUCCGGGAGGGCCUCGCGGCCUAUCAGCUUGUUGGUGGGGUAACGGCCUACCAAGGCAUCGACGGGUAGCUGGUCUGAGAGGACGAUCAGCCACACUGGGACUGAGACACGGCCCAGACUCCUACGGGAGGCAGCAGUGGGGAAUAUUGCGCAAUGGGCGAAAGCCUGACGCAGCAACGCCGCGUGGGGGAUGAAGGCCUUCGGGUUGUAAACCCCUUUCAGCAGGGACGAAAAUGACGGUACCUGCAGAAGAAGCCCCGGCCAACUACGUGCCAGCAGCCGCGGUAACACGUAGGGGGCAAGCGUUGUCCGGAUUUAUUGGGCGUAAAGAGCUCGUAGGCGGUUGCGUAAGUCGGAUGUGAAAACUCAGGGCUCAACCCGGAGACGCCAUCCGAUACUGCGCUGACUAGAGUCCGGUAGAGGAGCAUGGAAUUCCUGGUGUAGCGGUGAAAUGCGCAGAUAUCAGGAGGAACACCAGUGGCGAAGGCGGUGCUCCUGGGCCGGCACUGACGCUGAGGA